GGUUUUAUUUGGUGUUUUUUGGUCGGUCAGAUUGAACGCUGGCGGCAGGCCUAACACAUGCAAGUCGAGCGGAUGAGUGGAGCUUGCUCCAUGAUUCAGCGGCGGACGGGUGAGUAAUGCCUAGGAAUCUGCCUGGUAGUGGGGGACAACGUUUCGAAAGGAACGCUAAUACCGCAUACGUCCUACGGGAGAAAGUGGGGGAUCUUCGGACCUCACGCUAUCAGAUGAGCCUAGGUCGGAUUAGCUAGUUGGUGAGGUAAAGGCUCACCAAGGCGACGAUCCGUAACUGGUCUGAGAGGAUGAUCAGUCACACUGGAACUGAGACACGGUCCAGACUCCUACGGGAGGCAGCAGUGGGGAAUAUUGGACAAUGGGCGAAAGCCUGAUCCAGCCAUGCCGCGUGUGUGAAGAAGGUCUUCGGAUUGUAAAGCACUUUAAGUUGGGAGGAAGGGCAGUAAGUUAAUACCUUGCUGUUUUGACGUUACCAACAGAAUAAGCACCGGCUAACUUCGUGCCAGCAGCCGCGGUAAUACGAAGGGUGCAAGCGUUAAUCGGAAUUACUGGGCGUAAAGCGCGCGUAGGUGGUUCGUUAAGUUGGAUGUGAAAGCCCCGGGCUCAACCUGGGAACUGCAUCCAAAACUGGCGAGCUAGAGUAUGGCAGAGGGUGGUGGAAUUUCCUGUGUAGCGGUGAAAUGCGUAGAUAUAGGAAGGAACACCAGUGGCGAAGGCGACCACCUGGGCUAAUACUGACACUGAGGUGCGAAAAGAAGGG
This 772-nucleotide ribosomal RNA is filed under the name proteobacterium 3ml. Its description in RNAcentral is "bacterial SSU rRNA". It matches the Rfam family "Bacterial small subunit ribosomal RNA", at positions 1 to 765 of the family's 1533-position model. The record is from RNAcentral. Lineage: Bacteria; Pseudomonadati; Pseudomonadota.